GGAGCUAUAAUGCAGUCGAGCGAACCAAUAAGAAGCUUGCUUUUUGUUGGUUAGCGGCGGACGGGUGAGUAACACGUGGGUAACCUGCCUGUAAGACCGGGAUAACUCCGGGAAACCGGUGCUAAUACCGGAUAGAUUAUCUUUCCGCCUGGAGAGAUAAGGAAAGAUGGCUUUUGCCAUCACUUACAGAUGGGCCCGCGGCGCAUUAGCUAGUUGGUGAGGUAACGGCUCACCAAGGCGACGAUGCGUAGCCGACCUGAGAGGGUGAUCGGCCACACUGGGACUGAGACACGGCCCAGACUCCUACGGGAGGCAGCAGUAGGGAAUCUUCCGCAAUGGACGAAAGUCUGACGGAGCAACGCCGCGUGAGCGAAGAAGGUCUUCGGAUCGUAAAGCUCUGUUGUUAGGGAAGAACAAGUAUCGGAGGAAAUGCCGGUACCUUGACGGUACCUGACGAGAAAGCCACGGCUAACUACGUGCCACCAGCCGCGGUAAUACGUAGGUGGCAAGCGUUGUCCGGAUUUAUUGGGCGUAAAGCGCGCGCAGGCGGUCCUUUAAGUCUGAUGUGAAAUCGUGCGGCUCAACCGCAAGCGGUCAUUGGAAACUGGGGGACUUG
Molecule: ribosomal RNA, 616 nt
Filed under: Bacillus sp. KK15
Lineage: Bacteria; Bacillati; Bacillota; Bacilli; Caryophanales; Bacillaceae
Description: bacterial SSU rRNA
Rfam family: Bacterial small subunit ribosomal RNA
Source: RNAcentral